Molecule: non-coding RNA, 138 nt
Organism: Ornithorhynchus anatinus (platypus)
Lineage: Eukaryota; Metazoa; Chordata; Mammalia; Monotremata; Ornithorhynchidae
Source: Rfam
ACCCUCUCAGGAUUGCACCUGGAGAGUUUCCAGUACUCUACCAGACUUGGCUUCAGGAGGGAGAGUCAAACAGAGGCAUACCCAUUCCAUUCCUAGCUUGGACAGUAGGUAGCAAGUGGGAGGCAAUCUGCUAAAAAC